UACGGGGGGAGCAAGCGUUGUUCGGAUUUACUGGGCGUAAAGGGCGCGUAGGCGGUCAGCCCACGUCAGUUGUGAAAUCUCCGGGCUUAACUCGGAAAGGUCAACUGAUACUGUGCGACUAGAGUGCGGAAGGGGCAACUGGAAUUCUCGGUGUAGCGGUGAAAUGCGUAGAUAUCGAGAGGAACACCGGUGGCGAAGGCGGCCUUCUGGACAGUGACUGACGCUGAGACGCGAAAGCGUGGGGAGCAAACAGG
Molecule: ribosomal RNA, 254 nt
Filed under: uncultured bacterium
Lineage: Bacteria
Description: partial 16S ribosomal RNA
Rfam family: Bacterial small subunit ribosomal RNA
Source: RNAcentral